Molecule: non-coding RNA, 27 nt
Filed under: Rattus norvegicus (Norway rat)
Lineage: Eukaryota; Metazoa; Chordata; Mammalia; Rodentia; Muridae
Source: RNAcentral
UAUCAUGAAUGGGAAAAAAAAGGAAAG